Molecule: long non-coding RNA, 6592 nt
Organism: Megalobrama amblycephala (Wuchang bream)
Lineage: Eukaryota; Metazoa; Chordata; Actinopteri; Cypriniformes; Xenocyprididae
Exons: 4
Source: RefSeq, a predicted model, not a curated record
CUCAUAAACAACCAUCACAAAAUAAAAAAACAGCUUUUUAUUUUAGCUAGUUUUAUGUUUACAUCCCAAUCAGUCAUUGCAUAUAUAAGCACACACCUCAGUCACACUCAUUGUCUGGUCUCAGUGCGGACUACGGACUUCAUACCUGCGAAUUACUUACCUGCAUACCUUACCUCCAGCGCCUUUGUCUCCAUUGCUCCUUGUGAUCUUCUCCUGCACUCCUCAGAAGAUCCCUUCCUCAUCAUCUCCUGUCUCCAUUACGCUUCACUCCCACACUCACCAAGAAACCAAUUACCAUCGGCAACUGAGGUGUGUGCACUCCAUCAUUCACAUGUCAUUACAGUCACAAUCUCCCAUCACAACCUGCAAAAAUAAAAUUGUUAUUUCAAUCAGUCAACCUAUCAAACUUGCAUUAUCGUCAUUUCUUCUCACCUGUUGUGUCACUGCUCCGCUGCUGCAAAUAAAAUCUGUUAAAAGGUCCCAUGGCAUGAAAAUUUCACUUUAUGAGGUUUUUUAACAUUAAUAUGAGUUCCCCUAGCCUGCCUAUGGUCCCCCAAUGGCUAGAAAAGGCGAUGGGUGUAAACCGAGCAUGUGUUGUUGUGGACAACAGCAUGAGCAUGGCAGUUGCUCAUUGUUUGGACAAAUGAACACCAAAGUAUUUUUUUAGUUCCUUCAUCCGAGCCUAUGAAGAAAUAGUGGGUUCAUUUUAUUUUCUCUGGUAAUGCUCCGAUACAACUUUCCAAAGUUUUGUAUGUCUGCGCCACACAUUUCACCAACGACUGUUUCCUCAACGUGGGCCAAUACAGCCCAGUUACUGUCGCUAAUGUAAAGGUAGAUAGCAUCAAAUAUGUGUGUGAAUACACACACUGUAACGCGAGUGUUGUACAUUUCUUUGUUGUUUGGAUAACCGUUCUGCUGUUGGCGCACGCGAUAUCCACAUUUCCAGAUUGCAGAGCUUGAUGUAAUUGUAAUAAGAAAGAUUGUAAAAACCUUUAAGAUAUAUGAAAUAUAAAAUAUGUAAACAAAUAAAUGAUGUUGGCAUGGUAGCACAUUUUCCACAAUGGCACCUAUCCAAAAAGGUAUUUGUAAUAAUAGCAAAGGUCUGACUAAUUUAGUUGCGCUGGUUAGUGUUUAUAGCUGAUAAUUAUAUAUAUAAUAUAUAUAUAAUAGCAAAUCAGAGCAACAUGAAAAGCCAACAAUGUAGGCUAGCAUUAGCUACAUGAUAAUAACAGCAUAACAGCACACAUAAACCAACUAAAGUACCGUAUCCAGACACAGUGUUUUAAACUAACCAUUCGGAGACGUCCUGCUGUAGCCGCUGAGUUGCAACUUCUUCAACCGGUGCUUCUCCAUCUGGAUCAGAUUCUGUGUCAAACUGAAAAGCUUGAACGACUGCGUGUCUACGAGUCAUUGCAAUACAUCCACUGUCAACAUUAGCACACAGUACCGUGGCCGCAAGCUGGUUAAAGCCACACCCAACCUCCACCUUGCCCCGCCUCUCUCCUCCUCAUUAGCAUUUAAAGCUACAGACCCAGAAACGGCACGUCCUGAGGAAAGUGUAUUGUGGGACUGGCUCAUAGUGGCUGAAAUUCUGCACCAAGGCUGAAUUUCAGGAAAGAGACUUCAGAUACAGUACCAGGGACCACUUAGGCCUAUAUAAAAGCAUCCAAAAAGUAGCAUGUCAUGGGACCUUUAACCGUUAUCUGUGUUUCUCUUCCUUGAGUGUACCUACUUGUACCAGAAUACCAGACCAAAUAACACAGCAGCAUGAGCACACCUAAACCAGAUACUUUCUAGGAGAUUGUGAACUCUCUCCACCGAGUAUUAACCAUGUCAAGCACCACCACACCAGUUGCUGCUCCGUUCACCACUUCUUCUCCUAUGGUUAUUUCCAGUCCCAUGGUCAAUCCAGCACCCUACUCUGGUUCAGCGGAGGAUCCAAAUGUUUUUUUCUUCAAUGCUUCCUGGCCCUGGAGAUGCAGCUGCAUCGAUUUCCAAUGGAAUUCGCCAAAGUGUCCUUCAUUAUGUCCCUGUUGGUGGGGUGUGCACUCCAAUGGGCCGAGACUAUCUGGCAAAAUGGACCAGUUACCCAGUCACUCGACACUUUUAUAGCCCAUUUCCGAGGAGUCUUUGGAAAACCUGUUGGUGACUCCUGUAUGGAACACCGACAGGAUCAGCAGUCCUCACACCAACCUCGUCAACCACCUAACUUUCUCUGGCUGAGUGGCAGAGAUGGCUGACCCAAGGUCUGUGCCUGUACUGUGAAGCUAGGGGGUAUGUUAUCUCAACAUGUCCCAUGGAGUGUGCCGUUAACAGUCCCACAAUUAGUUCUACUCCACUCACUUCAGUUGUAUGCCUUACUGCCUCUGGGUCAGCCAGCAAUUUAAUUUCUGGAAAGCUCUGCCGUUAUCUCAAGCUCAAGAAAAGUUGCAAUGAAACCCAAAAAGUUGGGUUGCAAUGAAGAAUGCUCUUGCAGCAGCAGAGAACACUAUCCAAGCUCCAUCCAUGUGCCUUCUUUUCCAGGAAAAUCACCCAGGCGGAAAGGAAUUAUGACAUUGGCAACUGCAAACUCCUAGCCAUCAAGCUGACCUUGGAAGAGUGGAGGCACUGGCUAGAGGGAGCUCUUCAUCCAUUCAUGGUGUUGCCAAAUCAAAUGAACCUCGAGCAUCUUCAGGAUACCAAGAGGCUCAACCUUCACCAGGCCAGAUGAGGCUCUGUUCUCUUAGUAUUCUUGAUGAGGCACCAAGAAUACUAAGGAUGACACCCUCUCUCAUCUUUAUGCUCUUGAAGAUUUUCAUUAGGUCCUCAGAGCCCAUAGUUCACUCUAGCCUCGAUGGGGCUGACGUACAACUAGCUCAGGAUUGUGCCUCUGAACCAGUUCUGCCAGGGUGUCCACCAGACCACACCUACAUUCAAAGAACCCAUAGAAUCCCUCUGAUAACUUCUGUUCAUUCCUCAGUGGGUACUGGCCACCCAGGGUCCAAUCAAACUCUCUCAAAUAUUGCUUCUGGUGGCCAAGCAUGGCACAAUACAUCAGAAUGUUUGUGCAAGGACGUCAAGACUGCACCAUCUCAAAGACUCCACGUCACUUACCAGCUGGCAAGCUCCUUCCACUACCUGUUCCGUGUCAGCCCUGGUCACAUCUAGGAGUGGACUUUGUCACCGACCUACCUCUCUCUGACGGUGUGACUGUGAGCCUCUCAUCUGAAUACCACGCACAGACGAAUGGGCAGAUGGAGAGGAAAAUCCAGGAGAUUGGACUCUCCCAGCACCACGUAGAAGAGGUUGGCUGCCUCGCCUCCAGGGUCCUCUGCCCUUAGAAGCGGGCAGUGGAGGGUGGGGGGUGUUGGUACUGCCAAGGAUUUACCAGGCUCCACCAUCACUCGCUAACUAUGAUCCCCAUCACUGGAAUACUAAUCACCAAACACCAGUCCCUCAUCAGCACCUUAAUCAGUCACUGCUUAUAAGCACACACCUCAGUCACACUCAUUGUCUGGUCUCAAUGCGGACUACAGACUUCCUACGUGAGAAAGACUUACCUCCAUUUCUUACCUCCAGCACUUUUUCUCCAUCGCUCCUUGUGAUCUUCUACUGUCCUCUUCAGAAGAUCCCUUCCUCAUUGUCACCUAUCUCCAUCACACUUCACUCCCACACUCACCUGGAAACUACCAUCAGCAAUUGAGGUGUGUGCACUCUAUCAUUCACAUGUCAUUACAGUCACAAUUUCCCAUCACAACCUGCAAAAAUAAAGGACAUUGUUAUUUCACUCAGUCAACCUAUAAAACUUGCAUUAUUGUCAUUUCUGCUCACCUGUUGUCUCACUGCUCCUCUGCUGCAAAUAAUACCCAUUAUCCAUUAUCUGUGCUUCAGGAUAAUGUACAAUCAACUGCACACUUCAAAUUGGGGUCCUGAUCACCCUGGCUGAGGUUUUAUUUUGCGAUAAUGAUGGACUGACUGUACAUUAUCCUUUACUCAUGUCAUAAGUAUAAAUGUUGAAAAGAAAAAGCAAAUAAGAAAAAAGCCCUAAAUCCCAAGAAUAGCCUAAAACAAAUGGUUGAGAAAGUCCAAAACUGCGUCUGUGGGCUUAUUUAACAUCCUCACCUUGUUUUAAAAGCUCUAAAGCUCUGAUGUCUUGUGGUAGCUUCAAAAGCAAAAUCAUCUUUUUAAAUCUAUUUAUGGAUCUUAAUAAACUCCUGACUUGCUUCAAGAGAUGUUUAUGGUUUAGACAUGUUUCUGUGUGUUUUAUAUUAAGUAUUUGUUCAAGGCUCAGAUUCAUUUCUAACUAAUAAUCAUACAGAACAAAGGCAUUUGUCAGUUUUAUAAAACCUCUGAAGCCAGCAUCAACUUUCUCAGCUAUCCAGAAAAAAAGAGAGAAUCUCUAGAAAAGCACUUUCAGAUAUUGAAAAUGAUACUGGUUUUAUUUAUCUGAUAAUGAAACUGUUUUGUUUAUCAGUUACAUUACUUAAAAACAUUACAUUCCAGAUUAGCAGGGCAACUUUAUCUAGUUACAGUCUGUUUAAAUCAUAGUUUCCAGUAGACUAGUAUCAUAUUAGAAGCAUUUGAAAGGUGUGGUUCAGAUCUGUGGAAUUUUCCCAGAACAAGCAGGGGGGAUUACUGUAUAGACAGAUAGACAAACCUGCACCAGCCCUUCCAGGUGUGUCCUUUUGCUAGAAAAGAAAAUCCACUUCAGACCUUGAUUCUACCCUUAACCAGCAAUGUAGAAUUCAAUGCCUGUUAAACUAUGUAAUGCUUGUUCUCUGUGACUCUAAACAUCUUACAUACUCAUGUCUCUCUUCAUACUCACCUUUUAGCCUGUCCCUUCUUCAGAACCCCCUAAUAAAGGCAGUUGGUUUAGUAUGUGGCAGAAGCUCAGUAGACAGGCACAUGACACAUGCUUGCAAACUUGCACCAGGUUGAGAGGUUGUAUAACUUUAAAAGAAUAUUUUUUUUCUUUGUGUUCUAUUUGAUUGAUUUGGUCAGUCCUGAUAUAGCAUAUGACAAAUGCAGCAGGGCCACACUUAGGUGACUAUUAUGUACUAACAUUUAAAUUAAGCAUUUGAUACAAUGCACUUCAUGUUGUGUACAUAUAUGUUUUUACAUUGUACUUGUAUUUUAAAAAUACCUGCAUGUAAUUAUACCUGUAAUUAAUUUCUGUAAUUACAUAUAUAAUCACAUUGUUGACCCUUCCCUUACACCUUAACCCAAGCUUAAACCUAACCGUACCACCAAACCUGUGCCUAACCUUACCCAAAUCCUACCUCAGUAGCAGCAAAAGUAAUUUGCAAUACAAUAUGAACACAAUAAGUACAUAGUAGUUAAGGACACCUAAUAUAAAGUGGCCCGCAGCAGUUUUUAAAGUGGUCACUAUAUGGUUAACUUAUAGUCUAUAGCUUCAGCAGAUGGAGGCUAGGUGUGAUUACUUACCCACAUUUUACAAAAACACAAUAAAAAUGAUUAUUGUAUCCAGCUUGUAAGUACAAGCACAUCAAGUGCUUCAAGUUCCCCAUAUCUAUAUAAAUGUAAAUAAUCAAGAUUAUUGAUGAAAAUUUAAAGCAGCUAAAUCACAAGGAACGUUCCAGUGUUCAAUCACUUCUCCACUAAAUGACUUCCUAAUAUGUAACAGUAUGGAUCAUGAUGGCAGUCGGUUUGAUCUGUGUCUACACAGGUGGGAAAGCACCUCAACCUUUAUCUUUAUGACUGUAACUCUGUCUGACUGGAAGGGGGUGGGGCGAUUUAAAGCACUUCUACUGUAGACUAAUGUGAGCCGUAAACGUGACGACCAGCAUCACAAAUCAAAGAUCACAGAAAGGUUUUUCAACGUCAUCAACAUGUAGUCAACCUGCUUCACCACUCAGCCGUGUGAGACCCCGCCACAUCCGCGCUCUGCGUCGCUCUACCAUAAAUGACGGGAGGGUGCAUAAAACCUCACCAACUUGCCACAUUAGAACUGAAGACCCGGCACAGACUAACACUCACCACUCACAAAUGUGUUGAAUUUUUCUCCACUCCAGUGCUGUUGUAAUAUAUAUGUCUAUAGUGGAGAGCAACUCACAGAUUUCUCAGAUUUUGUAUUUCGUGCUGCCCUCAGCAUUUGUAAUUACAAUAAACAAGAAUCUAUAAGUCAAAAAUGUUUCUCUUACUGUUUUUUCUUCUUCUUCUUCUUUUUAAAAUAUUUGUAUUCUUUUUGUUGUUGUAGCAGGCUGAAGUGAAGGACACUGUCUCUAUGGCCUUGCAGAUCCAAGAAUGAAAUAAAUGCAAGCAUUCCUGCAUUAAACAUCUGUGGUUGAACCGUUCACAUCAAUGGCUUGCUGUCUAAUCCAAGUGGAAAAGGAACAAAUAAAAAUCUGAACAAUAUAAUGUUGGAAAUAUUGUCAAGACAUUAUGUUGGAACUACAAGACAUUAUGUAGAUGUGCUGUAAAGCUAAAUCUUCACAUUAGCACUCUUUACAAAGCUGCAUUGUUUUAUUUCAUUUGAUAAAGUGUUGUCAUAUACUGUCCACACCACCAAUUCUGCUUAUUUACAAUGCUGUUAAAAUUGUUGCUUUACAAAAAAAAAAAUAAUAAUAAUUUCCCCAAUAAAAGUACUAUGAUA